RNAcentral lists this transfer RNA (64 nucleotides) under Neohermes californicus. RNAcentral's name for it is "tRNA-His". Lineage: Eukaryota; Metazoa; Arthropoda; Insecta; Megaloptera; Corydalidae. The record is from RNAcentral.
AUUUAAGUAGUUUAAAUAAAAUAUUGAUUUGUGGUGUCAAUGAUGUAUUAAUAUACCUUAAAUU